Molecule: small RNA, 136 nt
Filed under: Actinoplanes friuliensis
Lineage: Bacteria; Bacillati; Actinomycetota; Actinomycetes; Micromonosporales; Micromonosporaceae
Description: c-di-AMP sequence
Rfam family: c-di-AMP riboswitch aptamer (ydaO/yuaA leader)
About the family: This family represents a conserved RNA structure found upstream of the ydaO and yuaA genes in Bacillus subtilis and related genes in other bacteria. The ydaO/yuaA element is thought to act as a genetic "off" switch for the ydaO and yuaA genes in its native state.
Source: RNAcentral
CCAGGGCCGCCACUUCCGCCAUGACGAACCGGGGAACCACCGAAGCAGCACCGGGGUGAAUCCGCGUCCGCGCGGUAGGGCAUUCUUCCGAGCCCGAAUCCGACAGCUAACCCGGUAAGCGGCCACAAGCGGAAGA